UACGGAGGGUGCUAGCGUUGUUCGGAAUUACUGGGCGUAAAGCGCGUGUAGGCGGCCGAUUAAGUCUGGUGUGAAAGCCCGGGGCUCACCCCCGGAAGUGCGCUGGAAACUGGUCGGCUAGAGUAUGGGAGAGGAAAGUGGAAUUCCCGGUGUAACGGUGAAAUGCGUAGAUAUCGGGAGGAACACCAGCGGCGAAGGCGGCUUUCUGGACCAAUACUGACGCUGAGACGCGAAAGCGUGGGGAGCAAACAGG
RNAcentral lists this ribosomal RNA (253 nucleotides) under uncultured bacterium. Its description in RNAcentral is "partial 16S ribosomal RNA". It matches the Rfam family "Bacterial small subunit ribosomal RNA", at positions 524 to 776 of the family's 1533-position model. The record is from RNAcentral.